GACGAACGCUGGCGGCGUGCUUAACACAUGCAAGUCGAGCGGAAAGGCCACUUCGGCGGUACUCGAGCGGCGAACGGGUGAGUAACACGUGAGUAAUCUGCCCCUCACUUUGGGAUAGCCACCGGAAACGGUGAUUAAUACCGGAUAUGACCAUAUGUCGCAUGGCGUGUGGUGGAAAGUUUUUCGGUGAGGGAUGUGCUCGCGGCCUAUCAGCUUGAUGGUGAGGUAAUGGCUCACCAUGGCUUCGACGGGUAGCCGGCCUGAGAGGGUGACCGGUCACACUGGGACUGAGACACGGCCCAGACUCCUACGGGAGGCAGCAGUGGGGAAUAUUGGACAAUGGGCGGAAGCCUGAUCCAGCAACGCCGCGUGAGGGAUGACGGCCUUCGGGUUGUAAACCUCUUUCAGUACCGACGAAGCGCAAGUGACGGUAGGUACAGAAGAAGCACCGGCCAACUACGUG
RNAcentral lists this ribosomal RNA (463 nucleotides) under uncultured bacterium. RNAcentral's name for it is "partial 16S ribosomal RNA". It matches the Rfam family "Bacterial small subunit ribosomal RNA", at positions 28 to 507 of the family's 1533-position model. The record is from RNAcentral.